AGCCGGGUUUGGGGUCGUGGUGAUUUUAUCGGCUCUGCUCGUUCUGCUCCUGAUCCUCUACAAACACAGAGGUUGGAAGAAAUUCUCUCUCCCCAAAUCCAAGCCCACGGACACAGAGGUCACAUCCACGACCCUGUACGCCGAGGUCGGCCCUUCCCAGCAGCGCAGCCCUACCGAAAUUAAAGCCAAACCAACGGGCGAGGAAUCCUCCACAAGCAUUUAUUCCCUGGUCAAGAGUCCAGAG
This is a non-coding RNA of Sturnus vulgaris (Common starling), 244 nucleotides long. The record is from RefSeq and is a predicted model, not a curated record. NCBI's taxonomy places the organism in Eukaryota, Metazoa, Chordata, Aves, Passeriformes, Sturnidae.